CAGCCGCCGCGGUAAUACAGAGGGUGCGAGCGUUAAUCGGAUUUACUGGGCGUAAAGCGCGCGUAGGUGGUUUGGUAAGAUGGAUGUGAAAUCCCCGGGCUCAACCUGGGAACUGCAUCCAUAACUGCCUGACUAGAGUACGGUAGAGGGUGGUGGAAUUUCCUGUGUAGCGGUGAAAUGCGUAGAUAUAGGAAGGAACACCAGUGGCGAAGGCGACCACCUGGACUGAUACUGACACUGAGGUGCGAAAGCGUGGGGAGCAAACAGGAUUAGAUACCCGGGUAGUCCCUGUCUCUUAUAC
RNAcentral lists this ribosomal RNA (301 nucleotides) under uncultured bacterium. Its description in RNAcentral is "partial 16S ribosomal RNA". It matches the Rfam family "Bacterial small subunit ribosomal RNA", at positions 509 to 807 of the family's 1533-position model. The record is from RNAcentral.